GACGAACGCUGGCGGCGUGCUUAACACAUGCAAGUCGUACGGUAAGGCCCUUUCGGGGGUACACGAGUGGCGAACGGGUGAGUAACACGUGAGUAACCUGCCCACAACUUUGGGAUAACGCUAGGAAACUGGUGCUAAUACUGGAUAUGUGCUCCUGCUGCAUGGUGGGGGUUGGAAAGCUCCGGCGGUUGUGGAUGGACUCGCGGCCUAUCAGCUUGUUGGUGGGGUAGUGGCCUACCAAGGCGGCGACGGGUAGCCGGCCUGAGAGGGUGACCGGCCACAUUGGGACUGAGAUACGGCCCAGACUCCUUCGGGAGGCAGCAGUGGGGAAUAUUGCACAAUGGGCGCAAGCCUGAUGCAGCAACGCCGCGUGCGGGAUGACGGCCUUCGGGUUGUAAACCGCUUUCAGCAGGGACGAAGCUUUUUGUGACGGUACCUGCAGAAGAAGCACCGGCUAACUACGUG
This 465-nucleotide ribosomal RNA is filed under the name uncultured bacterium. Its description in RNAcentral is "partial 16S ribosomal RNA". It matches the Rfam family "Bacterial small subunit ribosomal RNA", at positions 28 to 507 of the family's 1533-position model. The record is from RNAcentral.